UGUGAGAAAGCUAAUUCAAAAUUUGAAAACCCUAAUGCUUCUUCAGCACUCUCUCCCUCUCUAUAAUUUUCGGCGAAGAUGGAAGUGACGACUCACCCAUCUUCUCCCCUUUUCUCUUUUUCUCCGGUAAUACCAAACAUUAUUUUCUACUCUUUCUCGCUCGGCAUUCCAGCAGCGGUAGUGAAACCGACGACAAUAUAAGCGAUCACGAUAGCGGCAGAGUUAGGUGGAAAAAGCGGCCACUACGGCAAAACUUCGAUUGUGCAAUGGCUGGAUUUAAGGAGAAUUAUUCAGAUGUAAUUUGCCCCCUACAAAAACCCAUGGUUAUUGAUCAAUCAUUCGGGUCAAGCUGCAAACAAGCAGGGAGUUGUUUUGGUGAAGGGAUGUUUAGACUUUCGGUUCCCAGCAUGAACCAGGUAAGCAACUCAUUUUAUGGGUUUAGAACUGCUGAUCUUGAUCUAAUUUGCUGCAUGUGUGCGUAAUGGGUAAACCCUAACAAAUGGAGACGAUUUUGGGAGUGUUGUGAGUCAAGAUGAAGUUGAAGUUGAUUCUAACCCGUUAGGGGCUGCUCACGAAGGUGCUGAUUGGAGUCACAAUUUUCAGCAGUUACAAGGUUGCAAGCUCUUGGUUUGGUGGAGGAAUCGACCCCUAAGCGAUGAUGACCAUUUUGAGUUGGAUGUGUUUGAAACCAAUAAAUUUAUGUCAAAGAGUUCAAGCAAGAGCUUGUUGCUUUAAUUUGUCCCAGUCUUCUAGAGGUUCAGUUGUUAUUGCUGCUGCUGUAGUGAGCUUGUUGGUUUGCUAUUGGUAUUGCUCUAUAUCCAGGUACAUCUUUGAAUUUUGUUUUUUUUAUAGUUAUUGCUUAGAUGUAUUCCUGCUACUUUAAAUGGUUUGAUUGGUCGCUGGUUUGUUUUAUAGGUUCUUAUUCCAUCAACAGUAAAUCAAAUCAAAUUGAAAUCUAUUAUGCAUUCUACAUGAGAAAUACCAAUCUUGUUUAGUUUUUUACAACUCAGUUACUAAGAAGCAUGAAUCCUUUUAUGUACAGUAAUUUUUCAGAUAACUUAAUAAAUGGAUCGAUGCCUGAAGGUUAGUCCAAUCUUCUUUUUCUUCGAAAGCUGUGAAGACCUUUUUCACUUUCCGUUAUUUGUAAAAUAAUUCUAUUGGAAGUUAACAAGUAAAUUUUUAUAUUGUGAAAAUUGCAGGUUCUUGGAGAACAAUUUUCUAAAUGGUAUUAUCUUAGCUGAUGUAUGUCGGAACAAUUUGUUUAAUGCAACCUAUAAACUUCUACUGUAAAUACAUUGAUGGUAAAGGCUUAUUGGGGACAAAGCGUUGUUUAGGUGACAAUCGAGUUGCGGUUCCAAUUCUCUCCCUUUCUCAAAUGCAAAUGGUUUUGCAUCAAAAAGCCAUAACAUUGGUUCUCAAUCUCAUCGUCUGAGCCCAAGAUCAUUUUCGGCCAUAAAUACAAGUGGAUAUAUAAAUGAAGUGUACUCAAACAAGUUAUACGGGCAGUACAAAGGAGCAUGCGGGUCACAAAACCAGCAGGGGUGGCACGUCUAUGCUAUUACCCACCACGUAUGGAUGAUCUUUCAUGAUGGCUUCCUUAUGCAGCGGCCCUACCCACUUAAUGCUCUGAUCGCUUAAGGGUGCGGGAGGUCAUCUAUCGAGAUAGCGAAUCAUGUGCAGAAAGUGGUGGGUGAUGUUUUAUGUUUAGAAUGCACCAAUUUGACUAGGAAUGUAUCUAUCUGUUACUUGGUCUACAUGAUGGAAAGGUGGAGUCUAUACGUAUGGCAAGAAGUCAAUGUAGGUUGUUAAUUUGGUGGCAUGUCAUGGUUGCUGAUUAAGUUUUUGUGAAUUACCUAGACAAAGAGUCAAAACUAUUUGAAAAUGAUAACAAAAGUAGCUUUUGAUGC
Helianthus annuus (common sunflower) is the source of this 1907-nucleotide long non-coding RNA. RefSeq lists it as uncharacterized. The transcript has 6 exons. Lineage: Eukaryota; Viridiplantae; Streptophyta; Magnoliopsida; Asterales; Asteraceae. The record is from RefSeq and is a predicted model, not a curated record.